UGGGAGAUCUUGCGCAAUGGCCGAAAGGCUGACGCAGCGACGCCGCGUGUGGGAGGAAGCUCUUCGGGGUGUAAACCACUGUUGCCCGGGCAGCGAACGAUGAGCAUUGGCUCAUGUGACGGUACCGGGUGAGGAAGCACCGGCUAACUCUGUGCCAGCAGCCGCGGUAAUACAGAGGGUGCGAGCGUUGUCCGGAAUCACUGGGCGUAAAGGGCGCGUAGGCGGCUCGGUAAGCGUGCGGUGAAAGCCCGGGCUGCAACCCGCGUCGGCCGUGCGAACUGCAGAGCUGGAGCACUGUAGAGGCAGGUGGAAUUCCGGGUGUAGCGGUGGAAUGCGUAGAGAUCCGGAAGAACACCGGUGGCGAAGGCGGCCUGCUGGGCAGUAGCUGACGCUGAUGCGCGACAGCGUGGGGGGAGCAAACAGGGAUUAGAUACCC
RNAcentral lists this ribosomal RNA (436 nucleotides) under uncultured bacterium. RNAcentral's name for it is "bacterial SSU rRNA". It matches the Rfam family "Bacterial small subunit ribosomal RNA", at positions 355 to 787 of the family's 1533-position model. The record is from RNAcentral.